RNAcentral lists this long non-coding RNA (3854 nucleotides) under Mytilus galloprovincialis (Mediterranean mussel). Lineage: Eukaryota; Metazoa; Mollusca; Bivalvia; Mytilida; Mytilidae. The record is from RNAcentral.
UAGCAUAUAAUGGAAUGGCAGUGUACAAAUGAUAACAUAACAAAAUAAAGAUCUGAAUUACAACAAAAUAAUGAUUAAUUAUUUCAUGAUUUAAAGAAAAAAAGACCAUAUACAAUUUUUUCAAAGAUUCACUAUUGUUUUCAAGAAAAAAAAUUCUGAUAUCAAAAUGAUUUGAAUGAAAAAUAUAAUCAAACAAAAUUUUAAAGUCAGUUCAAGGAAAAUUCAAAGUUGUCCAAAUUUAUAUAACUAUAUAACUUUAUCUGAUGCUUUUCUUUGAUAAUUGUUUCAAGAAAAAACUGGGAUUUGAAAUGAAAUCAUUAAAAACUACUAUAUAUAACAGAAUGUGAAUGAAACAACAUAUUGAACAUAACAACCAUUAUAACAAAUAAUCAACACAUGUAAUAUGUUAGUGCUAUUACAUUAAAACAGAUGUGGGAUGGUAGGAUGGGGCAAUUACUUCUGGAAAAGGGUCCUUGAUGACUGUUUGAGAUAUGGGAAACUACACACCUGUAAUGUGUUGGUUUGUUGUGGUGGUAUUUUCGAAGUGCCUGAACUAUCCUCUAACAUCUAUUUUAAUUGCAUAACCCUAAUGACAAUGAAAGCACUCAUGUAUACUGCAUACAUAUAUUGUGACAAUGAAGUACUUGUGUGGCAAGUAUUUGUAAUAUUAAUGAAAUCUUUUGUACACUGUGUACAUAUUUCGGUGAGCAUAUAUCGUAUUGACAAUGAAGCAUUUGUGUACACCAUGUACACUGCAUAUUUGUGUAAUGGAGCAUAUGUUAUGUAUUGACAAUGAAAGCACAUGUGUACACUAUCUCAUCUGCGGCAGUUAUUAUUGUGAUUCACUUAAUCCUAAUUUAUCCACAGACAAUUUAACAAUUCUGGAGGAUAGUUGUCCACAAUCAUACCACAUCUCCCUAUUUCUAUAGUAAACGUAAUAAGCAGAAUUGCUCAAGUAAAAAUAUUUGCUCCAGAUGAUUAAUCCUUAAAUUUAUUGGGUUUUCAUCUCAGACAUUUUAGUUUCAACAGCUGAAGCUGUAAACAAAAUUACUCAUUACAGGUUUUGGUUAAAAAUUUAAACAAGCUAUUCAAGCCUCUAAAUGAACUAAACACUUUUGAUUGUAUCAGAAUAGAAGGCAGAUAAAAAUGGGGAAAAGGGGGGGGGGGGGACUUUGAAGAUAUCCAAUCAACAUUUGUAGAAAGAGACCAGAUAAUUUCUUACUUGAAUAUUUAUACACAAUUUGAAAGCUAUAUUCUUUAUGUUUAAAAGCACUCUUAAAACACAUUAAAAAUAUUUAGGGAAUUAAAAUAACUCAUAUAAAGGUUUUGAAUGGUUUUGCACUAUUAAUUUGGGGGUAUUUUUAGCUUAUUGUUCGGUGUGAGCCAAGGCUCCGGUGUUGAAGGCCGUACAUUGACCUAUAAUGGUUUACUUUUAUAAAUUGUUAUUUUGAUGGAGAGUUGUCUCAUAAUCUUCCUAUAUCUAUUAAAUGAUGAAAACAACUUUUGCAAGACUGACAAUAUGGCACUCACAUAAUAUUAUAAACAAUAACAUUUAGUAAAAUAAGUAUCUUGAGCAGACAAAGCACUGGUAUGUAUAAUAAAAUCUUUACAAAAUAACAAAGAACAAUAUAGAGCCGUAUAGAUCUAAAUAGCAAUAACAAUAAUGGAAUAGUAACCUCCAAUAUAACAGAAUUAUUACCGCCAAUAUAUAAAUCACAAUAUAAAUAACAUCCAUGUUAAAAUGAAAAAUCAGGAAUAUAUUUACAAUAAAUACCCUCAAAAACAUAACUAAUAAUCUUUAUCCCUCACAUGGUAUUUAAAGGCUGUUUCAUACAUAAAACACAAAUGGAUACAGGGAAAGCGCUUACACAUCUAGUAUAUGUUUUGUUUUUUUUAAUUUAUACAGUGGAAGUGUAAAAGAAAUUCUAAAAUUCAUGAACACCUUACAACUAUGUUGGUUGUGUUAAAAGUGCCUCCCCCUGAUACCAUAUAUGUUUUAAUGUAAACUUUGCAUGAUAUAAACUAACCUUCUGUAAACUUUGAUAAAAAUAAGGCCUGGUGAUUUGGUUUGUGUAAAGGUCUAAACAAUGAAUUCCUCUGAUGAAAAUCCAUUAAGACAAACUGUGAUUGUUUCUUGUACCCAACCUAACCCGAUUCUUUUAAAUUUAUUUAUCCAAUUGAACUAUUCAAAAGUAACAUUUUUCCUGACAAUAUUUGACAUCUGUUAACAUGUCACCCCAAAUACAACCAUUUGAUUCCUAUAAUGAUGAAAAUUCUUUUCAUGAAAUCCAAUAAAUAUAAAUAUAUUGUGGGUGAACAAAGUCCUACUCUUUCGGUAAUAAGAUAAUAAGUGGGUCAAACAUUCUGAAGACCAAGUAAAAUUGCAAUAAAAAGGCUUUACAAUAUUACAAUAGAAACUUAUGACAAAGAUUGUAUCAAUUGGACAAAUGGUUUCACAGAAGAUUUUUUUUUAAAGUUUCCAAAUGGCACAUAACAACAAUAAAUGUCAAAUAAUGGCAAUAUCUUACAGUAAAAGAUACACAUUUCGUUAUAAAAAAGCAAAAAUGCCAUAUUAAGGUCUGUACAAAUUUCUUAGCCUUAUAUAAAAGAAAUAUGUGCGAAAAAUGUCAAAUAAAAAUUGCAUAUAACAGAGGUAAAGGCACAUAGAAAGCAAGCAAUAUAUAUACAAUGUUUGGAAACACUAGCAAAUUUCAUGGCAUCAGCUAUGUAACUGUAAAAAUAAGCAGUAUUCUGCAACUGUUUUGAUAAAUUAAAUUAUGUUGAAGCCAUUUUUUAUGUAAUACAAACUAUGCAAGGACUAUUGUUGAAUUUCUGAAAAUUUGGCAAAAUAAAAAUCAGUUAUUCAAUUUCUAUGGAUGCAAAGUUUAGCACGUCUGCAAUUUAAGUACUCCUCAUCACAGAAUCUUGGAUUAUUUGGAAGUCUGUUCAACCCACUUUUCUAUGAUUCAGUAUUGAUUCAACACUUAAUUUGUGAGACUAUAAGGAUAUGUCUUUGAAAAUAAAUACAGAAUAGAAACUUUUGCUGGGUUUUUUUUUUAUAAACAAAAGAUGAAAAGUAAUCACAUUUCAAAAAGAGGUUAAUAUAGAUAGGAUGUUACAAACCGGAUUGUAUGAAAAUUUGAACAAGUUGCAUAACAUAGACAGCUUUUGUGAAAAAUACCAAGCUAUACACUUAUAAUGUACAAAUACAUUUAUAUGACAUUAAAACACAGAAGCCACAUAAUUUAAACAUAUAAGCCCUAUAAAUAAUAAAAUGAGAUCUAGAGAAACAUAUAAUCUCUUCACAUGUACUUUUAUAAAAAAAAGAAAUACCAUAAGAAUAUCUGCAUAAAACUACAACUUACUCAAACACUAUAUAUACAUGAUAUAUCACUUUAAAAUGAUCAUUUUAUUCUAAAAUUUGUAAGGGUUCCCCGGGACCUAGUGUCUAGCCUACUUUAAUUUUGCUGUUAGUCCCAAGAAAAAUCAGGGAAAGAUUAUUAAAAAUUUUCCUCUAGAUACUAUCUUUUGAUUAAAAGAAGCUGCUGUCCAAGUUUAGUAAAAAUCCAAGAUGGUUAAUGAAACUUAUAAAUGUUUUAAAAACUUCAACUGUAGACUGUCUUUGUUUAAAAAAUUCGUAAGGGUUCCACGGAACCCAGUGUCUCGCCUACUUUUGCUGUUAAUCGCAGACUCAACAAAAAUGAGGAAAAACAUCAAUAAAAAUUUCCCUCUCGAUACUGUCUUUUGAUUGAAAGAAGCUUCCAAGUUUGGUAAAAAAUCCAGGAUAGUUUAUGAAUCUAAUAAAUGUUUUAUAAACUUUAACUGCAGCCUGUAUGUAAUGUUAACUGGAAGAA